Molecule: non-coding RNA, 31 nt
Filed under: Rattus norvegicus (Norway rat)
Lineage: Eukaryota; Metazoa; Chordata; Mammalia; Rodentia; Muridae
Source: RNAcentral
UAGUCAUUUAUGCCUAUGGUUCUGAUUGAGU